GAUGCUACAAGACUUGUUGACCUUUUACAGCAAUUUGUUUUUCUCUUGAUUUACAGCAUCUGCAGUUCUUAGCUUUUAGCCAACAAAUCCAGUCUCUGGGUAAGAUGGUGGGCCGCUGGACAGAGCAUUGACCGCCGUGCUGGUCUAUCUACCUCCGAGCCAAGAGACCCAGGUUCAUUCCCACCUGCUUCUCAUGUCCCUGAGCAGGUUGAUUAGAAAGAGCCAUUCGACUUGCCUCAUCUUUUGCAGUUUUGCACUCUAUCCAGAGACAGCGCCAGGUUAAAUCCCUGAGCCCCUUUUGGAAUUCAAACUUCUGAAGAUUGGAAUUGGAUGCCAAAUCAUAUAAAUGCAAGAAAACAUUUUUUUUUAAAAAAAAAGAGAUCCAUGUUAUAAUUGCAGCUAGGGCUUUUAUGGCAUUGUGGGAUAGUGUCCCCACCUCCUGUAGUUUCUUACAGUCCUGGGCACAGUAGCUGCUGUACCAUGGACCCAGAGAGAAUGCGUUCAAUGAACCUUUUCAUUGAGCACUGAAGUUCUGAUGAAAAUAAAACACUAACUCAGUUUCUCUCCA
Molecule: non-coding RNA, 568 nt
Organism: Chiloscyllium plagiosum (whitespotted bambooshark)
Lineage: Eukaryota; Metazoa; Chordata; Chondrichthyes; Orectolobiformes; Hemiscylliidae
Source: RefSeq, a predicted model, not a curated record